UCAGGGAAAAGCUCAGAGUGUCCACGAGUAGCUGAGCAUGGCCAUUAGCAGAGGUCUGCAUCAGGGGAAGAACAGUCUGCUGGAGCUUACCAAACAGAUCUGCUGCUUCCUGCAGAGUGCGCCUGAGCAGUUUACGCUGGAGGAGAUUCCCAUCACCGAGUCAAAGGUCAGCAUGGACGUCAACUUUUCCGGCUCGUCUCCUGCAAAGAGAGUCAACUCAAAGAUUCCUCUCUGUUCAAAGCUCCAUGGACUCGAGUGAUGGUGUAUGGAUUCAGUCAUAAAGUGCAGCGUAACGGCCAGCUGAACCUGAUGGGGGCCGUGUGUUUCCCGCUGGACGCCUCUCCGUCCAACACCGGCCUCACUUCUCCACCCACAGCCAACCAGUAUCCUAGCAUCAUUAUCCCCACCGACAAAGUGCACGACAAAUUGGGCGUGUCUCCCCCUCCUGGAGCAGUGCUGGUGUUGCACUCGUUGCUUCUUGAGUUUCCAUUGUCGAUGGCCUUCGCUGAACAGCUGCUAACCUACAGUGUAGGAGAAACCAUAGAGCGCUCUGAGGAUGAGCUGGACACGGUGCCCACUUCUGUGCUCAUUCAGGUCGUGGAGCUGCUAGAACUGUACUGAGUGAGAAAACAACCGUCCUCAAGCCAAAAUCUCCAGAGAAGACCAAACCCGAUGAAAAAGACCCUGAGAAAUCUCCUGCCAAAAAUCUUGAAG
This 714-nucleotide long non-coding RNA is filed under the name Danio rerio (zebrafish). RNAcentral's name for it is "si:ch73-353n11.1 (ENSDARG00000102728.2)". Lineage: Eukaryota; Metazoa; Chordata; Actinopteri; Cypriniformes; Danionidae. The record is from RNAcentral.